GACGAACGCUGGCGGCGUGCUUAACACAUGCAAGUCGAGCGGUAAGGCCCUUUCGGGGGUACACGAGCGGCGAACGGGUGAGUAACACGUGGGUGACCUGCCCUCAGCUCUGGGAUAAGCCUGGGAAACCGGGUCUAAUACCGGAUAUGACUCCAUGACGCAUGUUGUGGGGUGGAAAGCCUUGUGCGGCUGAGGAUGGGCCCGCGGCCUAUCAGCUUGUUGGUGGGGUGAGGCCUACCAAGGCGACGACGGGUAGCCGGCCUGAGAGGGCGACCGGCCACACUGGGACUGAGACACGGCCCAGACUCCUACGGGAGGCAGCAGUGGGGAAUCUUGCGCAAUGGGCGAAAGCCUGACGCAGCGACGCCGCGUGAGGGAUGACGGCCUGG
This 389-nucleotide ribosomal RNA is filed under the name uncultured bacterium. RNAcentral's name for it is "bacterial SSU rRNA". It matches the Rfam family "Bacterial small subunit ribosomal RNA", at positions 28 to 419 of the family's 1533-position model. The record is from RNAcentral.